CGUUAGCGGCGGACGGGUGAGUAACACGUGGGUAACCUACCUAUAAGACUGGGAUAACUUCGGGAAACCGGAGCUAAUACCGGAUAAUAUUUCGAACCGCAUGGUUCGAUAGUGAAAGAUGGUUUUGCUAUCACUUAUAGAUGGGCCUGCGCCGUAUUAGCUAGUUGGUAAGGUAACGGCUUACCAAGGCGACGAUACGUAGCCGACCUGAGAGGGUGAUCGGCCACACUGGAACUGAGACACGGUCCAGACUCCUACGGGAGGCAGCAGCG
This 272-nucleotide ribosomal RNA is filed under the name uncultured Staphylococcus sp. RNAcentral describes it as "partial 16S ribosomal RNA". It matches the Rfam family "Bacterial small subunit ribosomal RNA", at positions 90 to 356 of the family's 1533-position model. The record is from RNAcentral. Lineage: Bacteria; Bacillati; Bacillota; Bacilli; Caryophanales; Staphylococcaceae.